Molecule: ribosomal RNA, 497 nt
Filed under: uncultured bacterium
Lineage: Bacteria
Description: partial 16S ribosomal RNA
Rfam family: Bacterial small subunit ribosomal RNA
Source: RNAcentral
GAUGAACGCUGGCGGCGUGCCUAAUACAUGCAAGUCGAGCGAACGGACGAGAAGCUUGCUGCUCUGACGUUAGCGGCGGACGGGUGAGUAACACGUGUAAACCCCACCUAUAAGACUGGGAUAACCUCGGGAAACCGGAGCUAAUACCGGAUAAUAUUCUGAACCGUAGGGUUGAAAAGUGAAAGACGGUCUUGCUGUCACUUAUAGAUGGAUCUGCGCUGCAUUAGCUAGUUGGUAAGGUAACGGCUUACCAAGGGAAGGAUGCGUAGCCGACCUGAGAGGGUGAUCGGCCACACGGGAGCGGAGACACGGUCCAGGCUCCUACGGGAGGCAGCAGUAGGGAAUGUUCCGCAGUAGGGGAAAGCCUGGCGGAGCAACGCCACGUGAGUGAUGAAGGUCUUCGGAUCGUAAAACUCUGUUAUUAGGGAAGAACAUAUGUGUAAGUAACUGUGCACAGCUUGACGGUAACUAAUCAGAAAGCCACGGCUAACUACGUG